This is a long non-coding RNA of Rosa rugosa (rugosa rose), 760 nucleotides long. RefSeq lists it as uncharacterized. The record is from RefSeq and is a predicted model, not a curated record. NCBI's taxonomy places the organism in Eukaryota, Viridiplantae, Streptophyta, Magnoliopsida, Rosales, Rosaceae. The transcript is spliced from 3 exons.
UUUCAAACCCGCUGCAGUCCCUCUUUUUCUCUCUCCCUCCCAAACUCCCGUUUCUGUUGGCUUCAACGCCGGCCCACGGUCGUCGGCAUCUCACACCGCCACCACAAUUAAGAGCAGUGGAGAGAGAUGACCAAAACCCGUUCCUUACCACACCCGACCUCAAAAGAUUGCACCAUUACUCGAAGUUACCACCACCACUUUCUCAAGACGCCGCCGCUAUCAACCAGUUCAGACCAAGCCGAUUGUCUUAGCCAUGAAUCCUUGUCUCCAAUCGACGCCGGUCGACUGCCACACGCGCCUUCAUCAGAGUUUUAGGUUCUGCUGAGAUUGGAAUUACCAUCUCCAGCCAUGAGAAUCAAAAGCUUGUGCUUUUUCGUCCAUGUCUUCUUCGUCUUCUUCUUCUCUUUAAUUGGUACAAACAAAGACCCUAAGCUACAGAUUAGCCACUUUAUUUUCAGUUAUGUCAUCUAAGAGCAGGAUGACGAGGAAGAAAAGGGUCUUAGAAGGUUUACAAGACGGUGGAACUGACAGGAACAUCAGCAAACAUGAUCUACUUCAUCCUUUGUUGUAAAACAGACUUAAUCCUUUGUUGAUAUAAUGAUCAUGUCAACUAUAUCUUCUAUGCCUUUAAAUUUAGUCCUUAAAUAAAUGUUCACACUUUCUAGUUAAAAGUCUAAACCUCAAGUUUUGCUGUUGUGGAAUUUUCUUUGUAUAAUUUAUUGAGAAUAAAAUAUUGAAAUGUUAAAAAAAUGGUUGGUUG